Long non-coding RNA from Zophobas morio, 377 nucleotides. RefSeq lists it as uncharacterized. The record is from RefSeq and is a predicted model, not a curated record. The transcript has 3 exons. NCBI's taxonomy places the organism in Eukaryota, Metazoa, Arthropoda, Insecta, Coleoptera, Tenebrionidae.
GGACUAUAAAUAUAUUAAGUCAUUAGGUCUGCCUAUACCUUCAACUACAAACUAUCGAUCUUCUUAUAAAGGCUAUUUGUCUCAAAGCAAGGAAAUAGUCGUGGAAUUUCCUCUCAAGUGCCGAAGAGUUUAUGAAUUUACCAAAAGCUGAAAACAGAGGAAACUUACAACUUGACUCAAAGUAACUGUUGCAGCUUAUAAGUUUCGGGGAGAUUCGCGGUUAUAGAAGGCGCACAAAGGAUUGUUUCAAGGUUUUUAAUCGGCUCUACAGAGUGAUGUUUUUAUGCGGGUAGCGAAUGACUGGUGGUCCGCUACUUGGAUGAUAUAAUCCUCCCAGUAUUUCCCGUUAUAUUAUAUUAUUCAAAACAGAAAUUUCA